UAUGGGUGAAAGCUCAUAGCGUAGCAAUACGUCGCCGGUAAGGUGCUGCAUGGCUGUCGUCAGCUCGUGCCGUGAGGUGUUGGUUAAGUCCCGCAACGAGCGCAACCCCUAUCUUUAGUUGCCAACAGGUAAUGCUGGGAACUCUAAAGAAACUGCCGCCGUAAGGCGUGAGGAAGGAGGGGAUGAUGUCAAGUCAUCAUGGCCUUUAUGCCCCAGGGCUACACACGUGCUACAAUGGGGCGUACAAAGGGCUGCAACAUGGCAACAUGAAGCUAAUCCCAAAAAACGUCUCUCAGUUCAGAUCGUAGUCUGCAACUCGACUACGUGAAGCUGGAAUCGCUAGUAAUCGUAUAUCAGCAAUGAUACGGUGAAUACGUUCCCGGACCUUGCACACACCGCCCCGUCAAGCCAUGGAAGCCGGGUGUACCUAAAGUCGGUAACCGAAAGGAGCUGCCUAGGGUAAAAAUCGGUAACUGGGGUG
This 481-nucleotide ribosomal RNA is filed under the name uncultured bacterium. Its description in RNAcentral is "bacterial SSU rRNA". It matches the Rfam family "Bacterial small subunit ribosomal RNA", at positions 996 to 1482 of the family's 1533-position model. The record is from RNAcentral.